UUAAUUUUGCAAUUUGAACACCCUCAAGCUCGCACUCAAGCUUGAAUUCGACGAUAACCUUUAGGCUCUUGCUUAAAUUAAUCUCUUUUUUAGUUUGUUCAAAUUGAAUCACUAAACAAACUGGAGUUAGUUCAGAAUGAAUCCACUCCUUGGGAUCAUCAUUUUCACUGGAGUCCUUCAAUUUCCCCAUAUUUGAAAACCUAAGAAAAGAACAAAAAUUCAAAAACUGGACUCUCUGACAGUGUGACUGUGAGCGCAACCGAAGAGCCGAGACGGCGGGGCCUGGCCUACACGUGACGCUUAAAGUUACGCGCCAUGAAACACCACCAACCACAUCAAUGCGACAACGAUCGCCUCACCGGCGAAUUUUCAACUAUCAGUCUUCGGAGCUCCACCUGUCACUCUGACUCAACUCCACAGCGUUUGACAAGGCAAGGCCUGUCGAGUUAAGCUGAUUUUUAUGUAUAGUUUCUUUCUCUCUCUUUUUUUUUGUCCUGUAUUUUCAGCGGAAAGAUAAUAAGGUACGCAUUUGAGGAUUUUCUUUUUGUAUUUUUAAUUUUUAUAAUUGAAUUUAUAUUAAAUUGACAAGGUCGUUUCUUCAACUCAUAACGAAUCAUUCCGUUCCACUGAGCUUUAAUUUUUUUCAUUAAUUAGUUAUUUGAAUUCAAGUGAUUUCCUUUACUGGUACAACAACUUGACAUCAGUUCAAAUUCGUCACCUUGAAAAGUUCAAAAUCGGUAGUGCUGCUUCGUUGAAAAAGUUAGUGUAUAUAAACACAUGCUUGCAUUUUAUUUAAUCAUUUUGCAGGUUUUUUCUACUGACUAGCAACUUUGUCUUCAGUAAGCUUUCGAAUUCUUUUUCUUUUUAAUGGAAUUUUCUGCUUUCUUGUGGAAUUUAGAUAUUUUGUGUGUUUGUUUUAUUGGGAAAUCACUAAAAUUGUUGAUUAUUGAAGAGACCCAAUCCAGGGGACCUCGAAUCUUUGAUAAAAAUGGGAAUUUGUUAGGAAGAAGAAAAAUCCGCAAGCUUUGCGUUUACUUGAGCGUUUGCUUGCAUUCGAUCCUUAAGAUUGUUCAUCUGCUGAAGAGAUAAGAAUUAAUGAAACUGAGUUUAAACGGGCUUUUAUACAUAAUUAUAUUUGUGUGGUCAGUAUAUUCUAAAUUCUGUAUGCAUCUCUUUGCUGACCCUCGCCAUUGUUCUUUUAACAGGCCUUAGCUGAUCCACAUUUCCAUGGACUGGUUAAUGGGAAGAAAUAUCUAGGUAACCCAUUUCAAAACUAGAGUUCGAAUUUGAGAGGAAAUUGACAGAAGAGGAUGUAAGAGAGCUAAUUUAUAGAGAGAUCUUAGAGUAUCAUCCACACAUGCUGCAAGAGUACCUUGAAGGCACAGACCAUGUUGGUUUCAUGUAUCCAAGGUGUACACUCUUGAUACGUACGGUUGUGCAAGCUACCAAAAAAUACAUAAGAAAUCACAACAAGAGGAAAAGGCAGAAAUACUCUUAGGCGUACCUGUGGGUGUUGCACAACUAGACCAUAAAUCUUUUAUUUGUAGGUGUAAACAUCUACCAGAUGUUUCUCUGUACUGAAAAGCGCUUGUGUAGAAGGAGACUCCCAGGACUUGAGUGAUAUUGAACAGUUUGCUUGUCUAGAGGAGCAGUAUGGUAAAAGAGAAGCAGCAUCCCACUCCAAAGAAAAUAUAGCUCCUUGGCCAAGGAAAGAAUAAGUUCCAAUGAUGAGUCUGCCAAUCUAACUGAUCUUACAAAAAAGCGAACUGCUACUUGGGCAACUCUUCAGAGCCCUCCAAGGCUGCAGGAAUUUGCGGAUUUGAAAUCUGGUAGUAGAAAUACUUCACAGAAUGGCUCUAGCCAUCGUAAGUGCAGCGCCCACUUGAGGACCAAUAGCAUUAGUGCUUCAAAGUGCAUGGACGUGAGCAAGUGACCAGCUUGUCAGUUCACUGACAGAGAUAACGGAAAAGGUACCUCAUAAACCAUGAUCCCUCAAGUCCUGGAAAAUUCUUCUGCAAUGAAAGAUAUGUUAUUGUUAACAUAUAUUAUUUUAUCUAACCAUCGAUUUUUUUGGAUCCAACCAAUCUCUACAGAUGCAAUUCUGUAAACCUAGUUUUACAUAGAGAGUGCCUUGCAGUUAACCCUUCCAUUAAUGACCUUACUUCCAAAAUGAUUAAAGAUGAUUAAUGAUUCCACAACUAAUUUGUACGCUGUCCAAACAGCUAUGUUGGAGUGUGCAGUUUUUGUUCAUUUGUUUUUGAGUAAAGAUUUCUAGAAUUCACCCAUGAACGGUUAGCGUAGUGUUCAGGUACGGGGUUUAUUCUAACAAGGUUUUGGGUUUGAAGCCUCUGAUCUUAUGGCUAAAAUAGGGUUCAGUGCACACAUGCCAAAGUAGAAUUCAACCCGGGCUAGUAAGGGCUCCAAAAUUGUUGUAAGAUGAGAUUGAGGGAUUUUUAUGAUUACACGUAAGCAUUUAUACUAGUGUUUGUAUCCAUUGUUAUUUGUGAAAGUAUUUUAUUUUUUGUUUUA
RNA transcript from Mangifera indica (mango), 2529 nucleotides. It is a transcript of the gene named mitogen-activated protein kinase 9-like, with no coding region annotated. The record is from RefSeq and is a predicted model, not a curated record. The transcript has 6 exons. Lineage: Eukaryota; Viridiplantae; Streptophyta; Magnoliopsida; Sapindales; Anacardiaceae.